Long non-coding RNA from Hydra vulgaris (swiftwater hydra), 1096 nucleotides. RefSeq lists it as uncharacterized. Lineage: Eukaryota; Metazoa; Cnidaria; Hydrozoa; Anthoathecata; Hydridae. The record is from RefSeq and is a predicted model, not a curated record.
UAUGGCAAAUAAAGAAACAAACAAGAAAUAUAACUUGACUCAUAUUUCUUUUGAAAAGAUAUCUGAGAGAUAUCAAAUUUCAAACUUGUAAAAGGAACAAUUCUGAGUCAGAGUAAGAUGUUAAAGAUUUCUUGGAUUUUCAAAAAAGUGUUACAGACAGACAUCCUCAACUGUUUCAGGAAGGCAAGUUUUAAGACAAUACAUCUGAUGCUAUUUUUUGUGAAAGGUGUAAAGUGCCGCUUUCAGUUCUGGAUGAGCUUAAAAAAAUGCUUGAAGAUGAUCUUCAUCAUCUGACUUUAGGAAAUAAAGAUUUAUCCCCAAGAUAUCAAGAGCUGCUUCAUUUUAUCAUGCAAGAUCAUGGUGUUGAAAAACAUUCCAGCAAUCAAGCUGUUCAUGCAGCUUUGAAUAGUUUGUUUUGUCAACGAGAGGAAGUUAUUCAUUAGUCUCAUCCUGUUGACACCCUCCCAGUAAGUUUUAUUCUAUGGCACAGAUUCCAAGUGUAUGUGUGUGGUUACAUCGAUGGAAGUCACAUACCAAUCAUCCCUACAUCAAAAGGUGAAGAUGUAUUUCUCAAUCGCCACCAGUUUUAAUCAUUGAAUGUCUUUUACGUUUGUGGACCAGAUUUGUAUGUUUAUUAUGUUUACGCUGAUGGAACUGGGCGAUGACAUGAUUCUAGAUUUAAAAGCUGUCUAUUGAAAUUGUGAAUUGAGUUUAAAUUAAUCAGAAAAGAUAUAAGCAUAAUCUUUUGGAUUUGUUAUGGUGUUCCAAGUACAACUUGUUAUGAUGUUCCAAGUACAACUUGUUAUGAUGUUCCAAGUACAACUAAGUGGCAAAUGAAAACUACGGUUAUGUUUUAAAAAAAAAUCAGAGACGGAAGUUAAUGAAUGCACAAGAUUAAACUUUAUUAAUUGAAUAUUCGAUGGAGCUAACAUUUAAAACAUGUAAAGUUGUUUAAAGAAGGCUUUUAAAGAACGUUGAUCAACGAAAAAAGACUUAAAGAACGAGUUAAAGAAUUAUAUAGGUUCAAAAAACGAAAUUUAAACAAUUUUUAUGCUUCUAUUUUUAUAGAUCUAUAUAGAUUAUAGAUAUUUUUAUA